CAAUAGUGUAUGCUAAUUUUGUUGCGGUUAAAAAGCUCGUAGUUGAAUCUCGGCAGGCAGGGCUCGGUUCGAUUUUCGUCGCUACUGAGCCAUUUGCCUGUGACAGUUUGACGGAGGUUCUUGGGUGCUCUUAACCGAGUGUCCUGGGGCGCCGUCAGGUUUACUUUGAAAAAAUUAGAGUGCUCAAAGCAGGCCUUACCCGCUUGAAUAUUCGUGCAUGGAAUAAUGGAAUAGGACGUCGUUUCUAUUUUGUUGGUUUUCGGAAAUCGACGUAAUGAUAAAUAGGGACAGUCGGGGGCAUUAGUAUUCAGACGACAGAGGUGAAAUUCUUGGACCGUCUGAAGACUAACUACUGCGAAAGCAUUUGCCAAGAAUGUUUUCAUUAAUCAAGAACGAAAGUUAGAGGUU
Molecule: ribosomal RNA, 408 nt
Filed under: Arthropoda sp. MM00029
Lineage: Eukaryota; Metazoa; Arthropoda
Also listed under: 1 other name
Description: SSU rRNA
Rfam family: Eukaryotic small subunit ribosomal RNA
Source: RNAcentral